UGUGGUGGCGAUAGCCUGAAGGAUACACCUGUUCCCAUGUCGAACACAGAAGUUAAGCUUCAGCACGCCAAGAGUAGUUGGGGGAUCGCCCCCU
RNAcentral lists this ribosomal RNA (94 nucleotides) under Secundilactobacillus mixtipabuli. The record is from RNAcentral. Lineage: Bacteria; Bacillati; Bacillota; Bacilli; Lactobacillales; Lactobacillaceae.